Molecule: long non-coding RNA, 1388 nt
Organism: Heteronotia binoei (common prickly gecko)
Lineage: Eukaryota; Metazoa; Chordata; Lepidosauria; Squamata; Gekkonidae
Exons: 2
Source: RefSeq, a predicted model, not a curated record
CCCUUCGCAGGGCGGCGCCGCGGGGGGAAUGGCUGCCCCGACGCCCCUCUCGCGUCUCCACCCUCGUGGCGGCUGCUGACGUGCGGCGCUAGACGUCUUGAGAGGAGAGGGGGGUUGCCCCUGAAGUUGACCGCAGACGUGGCGAGGGGAGAUUCGACGCCCCGACAGCUAUACCUUGAGGACGUUAUUGACUGAUAGGAAAAGAGCAAUGAAGAGGAUGGCAAGAGAUCUGGAAAAUCCAUAUAAAAGCAGGAGCCAUGACCUAGGAGAGAAGAUUCAAGACAGACACUUUGGGAAUCCUUUCUUUUUUAUAUAUAGCAAUUUAAAUAUAUUGGAGAAAAGAGAGAACUACAGGACCAAAUUCCACAGAGUUAAUGGUUAAUUUUUAUAUUAAUAAAAUGUUAUAAUUAAAAUAAUAUAUUUUUUAAAAAAAAUAAUAGAAGAUAAAGAUACUGAGAAUCAGUGUGGUGCAGAGUUAAAGGGUCAGACUAGGUUCUGGAAGACCUGAGUUCAAAUCCCCGCACUGUGAAGGAAGCUUGCUGGCCGUCCUCGGGCCUGUCACGCACACUCAGCUUCCCUUCUUCCACAGGGUUGAUGUGAGGAUAAAACAGAGGAGAGGAGAAUGAUGUAAGCUGCUUUGGGGUGCCCACUGGUGAUGAGGGUGGAGUAUAAAGGAACUAAAUAAAAUAUUAUAUCCCAUUUCAAUUUCAUUCUUCCUCUAAAGAACUCAGGCAAUGGGGGGUGGGAGGUGGAGCAAGAAGCUCCACUACAUAAUGAGGCUGGGAAACCAUGACCUUCACAGUGCAGUCCUGAUCAGAUUUAUACCCUUCUAAACCCAAUUACUUCCAUGGAUUUAGGUGUGCCUGUUUAGCACUGCACUGCUAGUUCAAUGUGCAGAGUAGAAUUCUUACUCAAGGAGAAGGUAAACCUCCACAGAUUACAUGAGGCUACCAUUAUCAAUUUACCAUAAUCUAGGUUAAUACUACAUGCAACAAGUACCUGAUGUGAAAAUAUAUGUAGAGUCAAUAAAUGAGCAGUCAAUUGCAUGGCAGGGGCAUGUAUAAUGUUUAAAUUAAAACAUAAAUGAAGUAAUUCUAUUGCUUUCUGUUAACCUAUCUCAAAUUAAAGCUUAACUAACAGCCUAAAACGACAAUAAGUAGGUAGGUUUAUUUGUUGCUAAAGAUUUUUCUGCUGCACAGUAUCUUUUUAAGGGUUGCUGCUGCUUUUACUGUUGAUUUUUUCUGUGGUUUUAUUGGCUUGUUUCAUUUUUAUUACUACUGUUAGUGAUCAGUUGUAUAACCUUGUUUUUGUGCAUUGCUUUGAGAACUUUAUCGUUGUGAAAUUAUGCAAAAAUAAGUAACAAAUUAAGUAAAGUAAACUAGACACAG